This 253-nucleotide ribosomal RNA is filed under the name uncultured bacterium. Its description in RNAcentral is "partial 16S ribosomal RNA". It matches the Rfam family "Bacterial small subunit ribosomal RNA", at positions 524 to 776 of the family's 1533-position model. The record is from RNAcentral.
UACAGGGGGUGCAAACGUUGCUCGGAAUUACUGGGCGUAAAGGGCGCGUAGGCGGCCCGCUAAGUCGAACGUGAAAUCCCCAGGCUCAACCUGGGAACUGCGUCCGAUACUGGCAGGCUUGAAUCCGGGAGAGGGAUGUGGAAUUCCAGGUGUAGCGGUGAAAUGCGUAGAUAUCUGGAGGAACACCGGUGGCGAAGGCGGCAUCCUGGACCGGUAUUGACGCUGAGGCGCGAAAGCUAGGGGAGCAAACGGG